UUCCGGUUGAUCCUGCCGGACCUGACUGCUAUCGGAUUGAUACUAAGCCAUGCGAGUCUUUGUAGUAAUACAAGGCAUACGGCUCAGUAACGCGUAGUCAACCUACCCUAUGGACAAGAAUAAUCUCGGGAAACUGAGCAUAAUUCUUGAUAGAUCAUAAUGCCUGGAAUGGUUUAUGGUUAAAAUGAUUCGUCGCCAUAGGAUGGGACUGCGGCCUAUCAGCUUGUUGGUGAGGUAAUGGCCCACCAAGGCGAUUACAGGUACGGGCUCUGAGAGGAGAAGCCCGGAGAUGGGUACUGAGACAAGGACCCAGGCCCUAUGGGGCGCAGCAGGCGAGAAAACUUUGCAAUGUGCGAAAGCACGACAAGGUUAGUCCGAGUGAUUUCUGCUAAAGAGAUCUUUUGCUAGUUAUAAAACCACUAGUGAAUAAGGGGUGGGCAAGUUCUGGUGUCAGCCGCCGCGGUAAAACCAGCACCUCAAGUGGUCAGGAUGAUUAUUGGGCCUAAAGCAUCCGUAGCCGGCUCUGUAAGUUUUCGGUUAAAUCUAUGCGCUCAACGUAUGGGCUGCCGAAAAUACUGUAGAGAUAGGGAGUGGGAGAGGUAGACGGUACUCGGUAGGAAGGGGUAAAAUCCUUUGAUCUAUCGAUGACCACCUGUGGCGAAGGCGGUCUACCAGAACACGUUCGACGGUGAGGGAUGAAAGCUGGGGGAGCAAACCGGAUUAGAUACCCGGGUAGUCCCAGCUGUAAACGAUGCAGACUCGAUGAUGCAUUGGCAUAUAGCCAGUGCAGUGUCGCAGGGAAGCCGUUAAGUCUGCCGCCUGGGAAGUACGUACGCAAGUAUGAAACUUAAAGGAAUUGGCGGGGGAGCACCACAAGGGGUGAAGCCUGCGGUUCAAUUGGAGUCAACGCCGGG
Molecule: ribosomal RNA, 914 nt
Filed under: uncultured marine archaeon
Lineage: Archaea
Description: bacterial SSU rRNA
Rfam family: Archaeal small subunit ribosomal RNA
Source: RNAcentral